RNAcentral lists this unclassified non-coding RNA (902 nucleotides) under Copidosoma floridanum. Its description in RNAcentral is "l-galactose dehydrogenase, transcript variant X2". The record is from RNAcentral. Lineage: Eukaryota; Metazoa; Arthropoda; Insecta; Hymenoptera; Encyrtidae.
UAAUAUAUAUUAUUUGUAAUGUACAAAACGUGUUUGACGUGGAUACGUUCACCACGUGGUUUAGGCACUCAAGGGAAUUCCUCGUCAAGCUUAUUACAUCGCUACAAAGGUCGGAAGGUACGAGCUAGAUUACGAACACAUGUUUGAUUUUACAGCCGAGCGAGCUCGUCGCAGUGUAAAAAAGAGUCUGGAGCUUCUGCAGCUCGACUACGUCGACGUCAUACAAGUUCACGACAUCGAGUUCGCGCCUUCGCUGGACAUAAUCAUAACUCAAACCCUGCCCGAGUUGUCGCGCCAAGUGGCCGAGGGCCGUGCCAGACACAUUGGCAUCACUGGCUACCCUGUUUCUGUACUCAAGGAGUGCAUCGAACGGAGCAACAUCAACAUCAGCUGUGUGCUGAGCUACGCUAGGUUCACCCUCAUCGAUGACACCCUCGCCGAGUACAUUCCGUUUUUCAAAGAGCACAACAUUGGAAUCAUCAAUGCCGCAGCACCGUGCAUGGGACUUUUGUCAAGUAAAAAACCUCCACAAUGGCAUCCGGCUCCAGAGUGUAUGAAAAAAGUAUGCAAUGACGCGGCACAAUGUUGCAAGGCACAUGACGUGGAAUUAGCUAAGCUAGCGGUUUGGCAUUCGUUUCAAUGUCCAGAUGUUUCUACCCACUUGGUUGGAAUGCAAAAUUUGCGAGACUUGGAUAUAAACAUGAAUGUUGUUUACAAUGGCAUUAGCGAUAAAGAGAUGGAAGUUCUUGAAGAAAUAAAAAAAGACUGUCGACAUCGAAGGAUGUUAAUGUAAUGUGAUAUUAUUAAACAAUAGUAAUAAGUUUAAGUAAAGCUCUGUGUUCACAGCUUUGUGAUUGUGGAAAUAUUAUGGUUCAUCUCGAAAGUGACAAAGAAGCAUUGGG